Molecule: ribosomal RNA, 415 nt
Filed under: Escherichia coli
Lineage: Bacteria; Pseudomonadati; Pseudomonadota; Gammaproteobacteria; Enterobacterales; Enterobacteriaceae
Description: partial 23S ribosomal RNA
Rfam family: Bacterial large subunit ribosomal RNA
Source: RNAcentral
AGGCCAAUCAAACCGGGAGAUAGCUGGUUCUCCCCGAAAGCUAUUUAGGUAGCGCCUCGUGAAUUCAUCUCCGGGGGUAGAGCACUGUUUCGGCAAGGGGGUCAUCCCGACUUACCAACCCGAUGCAAACUGCGAAUACCGGAGAAUGUUAUCACGGGAGACACACGGCGGGUGCUAACGUCCGUCGUGAAGAGGGAAACAACCCAGACCGCCAGCUAAGGUCCCAAAGUCAUGGUUAAGUGGGAAACGAUGUGGGAAGGCCCAGACAGCCAGGAUGUUGGCUUAGAAGCAGCCAUCAUUUAAAGAAAGCGUAAUAGCUCACUGGUCGAGUCGGCCUGCGCGGAAGAUGUAACGGGGCUAAACCAUGCACCGAAGCUGCGGCAGCGACACUGUGUGUUGUUGGGUAGGGGAGCGU